This 508-nucleotide ribosomal RNA is filed under the name uncultured glomeraceous AM fungus. RNAcentral's name for it is "SSU rRNA". It matches the Rfam family "Eukaryotic small subunit ribosomal RNA", at positions 569 to 1078 of the family's 1831-position model. Lineage: Eukaryota; Fungi; Glomeromycota; Glomeromycetes; Glomerales; Glomeraceae. The record is from RNAcentral.
AGCAGCUGCGGUAAUUCCAGCUCCAAUAGCGUAUAUUAAAGUUGUUGCAGUUAAAAAGCUCGUAGUUGAAUUUCGGGGUUAGUAGGUUGGUCAUGCCUCUGGUAUGUACUGGUCUCACUGAUUCCUCCUUCCUGAUGAACCUUAAUGCCAUUAAUUUGGUGUUUUGGGGAAUUCGGACUGUUACUUUGAAAAAGUUAGAGUGUUUAAAGCAAGCUAACGCUUGAAUACAUUAGCAUGGAAUAAUGAAAUAGGACGUUCGAUCCUAUUUUGUUGGUUUCUAGGAUUGACGUAAUGAUUAAUAGGGAUAGUUGGGGGCAUUAGUAUUCAAUUGUCAGAGGUGAAAUUCUUGGAUUUAUUGAAGACUAACUACUGCGAAAGCAUUUGCCAAGGACGUUUUCAUUAAUCAAGAACGAAAGUUAGGGGAUCGAAGACGAUCAGAUACCGUCGUAGUCUUAACCAUAAACUAUGCCGACUAGGGAUCGGAUGAUGUUAAUUUUUUAAUGACUCA